Molecule: ribosomal RNA, 505 nt
Filed under: uncultured bacterium
Lineage: Bacteria
Description: partial 16S ribosomal RNA
Rfam family: Bacterial small subunit ribosomal RNA
Source: RNAcentral
GACGAACGCUGGCGGCGUGCCUAAUACAUGCAAGUAGAACGCACAGUUUAUACCGUAGCUUGCUACACCAUAAACUGUGAGUUGCGAACGGGUGAGUAACGCGUAGGUAACCUGCCUGGUAGCGGGGGAUAACUAUUGGAAACGAUAGCUAAUACCGCAUAAUAUUGAUUAUUGCAUGAUAAUUGAUUGAAAGAUGCUAUUGCAUCACUACCAGAUGGACCUGCGUUGUAUUAGCUAGUAGGUGAGGUAACGGCUCACCUAGGCGACGAUACAUAGCCGACCUGAGAGGGUGAUCGGCCACACUGGGACUGAGACACGGCCCAGACUCCUACGGGAGGCAGCAGUAGGGAAUCUUCGGCAAUGGACGAAAGUCUGACCGAGCAACGCCGCGUGAGUGAAGAAGGUUUUCGGAUCGUAAAGCUCGGUUGUAAGAGAAGAACGGGUGUGAGAGUGGAAAGUUCACACUGUGACGGUAUCUUACCAGAAAGGGACGGCUAACUACGUG